GUGCACUGCCCUCACCCACCUUCUUUUUGUAAUGAUACGCCAUGAUAAAAUGCCUGUGUGAUGAAAUGAAGUAAAGAGAAUUGUGAGGUAGUGUCACGCUACUCCUGACCUUCUGAUAUAUUGUCAGAAGGAGGAGCAUCUGCUUCCUGACUCCAGUUGAUGUCACACGGCAUGGCAUUUGUAAGAGUGUACCAAACUUACACUUCUGCCCAAUGAAUAUAAAUCAUCUGCAGCCAUUGAUUGUGAAACGAUGAGAUUAUACCAGCGAAUACCCUUGUCAACCAAAAGCUGCCGGAUCAGUACAAAGUAGCAGUGUUAUUAUUAUUGUUGUUGCUACAAAGGAAAACCCAGAGAAUAUCUCUAAAUUGUUAGAGAUUAACCAAACUCAUUGAGUGUGAAAUCGGUUGAAGACCUGAGAGUCGAAGGAACACAGACAGCUGGUGUGCUGGGAUACAUAAACCAAUCCCAUGAAAAAAUUCUUCAGCGGUCAAUGUGGGAAUGAAAACAUGAGCAUCUGAGUGAAGAAUGAAAUGGCUGUGAUAUCAAGUCAGCAACCUGCAAUAGCUCUGCUGUGGGAGAUCAGAGUCUGGGGGGCAAUGGAGUCUGUGUGUGUGUUGGGGCCAGUCGUUCAGAAGGAACUCUGGAUGAAUGGGAAACUGUUGUAUGUAACAUUUUAGUUUACUUGAGGGAUUAGCCAUUUUUUUGUUUGCAUGGACGAUAAAGAAUGAGAACUUGCAUCUGCAGCUGCAAUAAGCUGAGAAAUGGAGUUCCUUGGAAUGGUAUUAUGGAGAAGGAGGAAGGGAAAAUAAGAAAAGGAAGAUAAUGAUGAUGAUUCAGUAAAAUGAGUGAACCAGAAGGAAAGCAGAGAUGAGUUUAUGCCUGAUUUAUGUGAUGAGAAUGACAUAGUAAUUUUCAUUGCCAGAUCAAGGUCAUUGAAGAAGAAUGCAUUAAAAAGAACUUAAGUACUGUGUUCUGGAAAACUUGGGUCACUUGAACACGGAAAGAUGACUUAAAACUAGCAUGAAUGCAUGAAGGAGGCUUACCCAACCACAAAGAAUCAGAGGUGAAAAGACACUUCCCAGCCUAUCAAACACAAUUGUCGGCAAAAAUAAAAACAAAA
Suricata suricatta (meerkat) is the source of this 1120-nucleotide long non-coding RNA. RefSeq lists it as uncharacterized. The record is from RefSeq and is a predicted model, not a curated record. NCBI's taxonomy places the organism in Eukaryota, Metazoa, Chordata, Mammalia, Carnivora, Herpestidae. The transcript is spliced from 4 exons.